AAGGAAUUUUCGGCAAUGGGCGCAAGCCUGACCGAGCAACGCCGCGUGGGUGAAGAAGGCCUGCGGGUUGUAAAGCCCUUUCGGUAGGGACGAAAGCCUCCGACCUAACACGUCGGGGGGUUGACUUAACCUACAGAAGAAGCACCGGCUAACUCUGUGCCUGCAGCCGCGGUAAUACAGAGGGUGCGAGCGUUAAUCGGAAUUACGGGGCGUAAAGCGGACGUAGGCGGCUUGGUAUGUCGGGUGUGAAAUCCCCGGGCUCAACCUGGGAACUGCAUCCGAAACUGCCUUGCUCGAGUAUGGGAGAGGGAAGUGGAAUUUCCGGUGUAGCGGUGAAAUGCGUAGAUAUCGGAAGGAACAUCAGUGGCGAAGGCGACUUCCUGGACCAAUACUGACGCUCAGGUGCGAAAGCGUGGGGAGCAAA
RNAcentral lists this ribosomal RNA (424 nucleotides) under uncultured bacterium. RNAcentral describes it as "bacterial SSU rRNA". It matches the Rfam family "Bacterial small subunit ribosomal RNA", at positions 356 to 772 of the family's 1533-position model. The record is from RNAcentral.